UUAUAAACAUGAUAAUCUUCUGUGUUUCUGCUAAACUUGAGGGAGAUUCCUGCUUUAACUUUACAGUCCAACUUAUGCUCCCUUUCUGCUGAUAGGACUGUGAAAGUGUAGCAUAAAAAGUUGCAGCAAAAUCAAUUUUGCUCUGGCAUUACACUGCAAGUACCUUUGCCGAGUAGAGCUUAUGUUGCAGAAAAGAGAAAACAGAAAUGAGUUUCAAUGGUUGGAUGAAGGCCAGCUUAUAAAGUUCUGGGUCACCACAUCGUUUGCUGUCUAAUAUCCGUCCUAAAGGAUGCAUCUUGUUGAUUUGAUGAAAAUGAUUUUGAAGAGACUGAGUAUUCACUCUCUUUCAAAGUACCUCAUAGUUUUCCAUGCUUCAUAAGCCAUUAAAGGCAUUGAACCAAUGACCACUCCAACCAUGGAGAAAUCAGAAAUAAAACUUUACAUAUGUUGGUUGUUCACUUUAUAUAUGUUGUGUUUUAUAUUCAUAUCAUCUUUCUUACUAUAUAUUCUUUUCAAAUUGGAUUUUUUCCCAACAAAACUAGACAUAAGAGUACAAUAAGACUAGACCUAAGUGAAGAGUAUGAUUAGUGUCAGAAUCUUUGCUGAUGACAGUUGGCAGUAGGCACUAACUGUUGCUAACAGACAUGGUAACUGCCUAAGGGUCAAAAGACUUGUAUAGCAAGCCAUCCACCUUCUAUAUAUAUGUAUAUCAUAAGUGAUCUAUCUCUUGUUUCGGUAGAAUAACACAACCACCACAGCAGCAAAGCCUUAUUCUACUAGGUGGGUCAGUUAUAUGGAUCAAAUCACGACAUUCCACCACCCUGUUGUACCUCA
Molecule: long non-coding RNA, 834 nt
Organism: Arachis ipaensis
Lineage: Eukaryota; Viridiplantae; Streptophyta; Magnoliopsida; Fabales; Fabaceae
Source: RefSeq, a predicted model, not a curated record